RNAcentral lists this ribosomal RNA (119 nucleotides) under Pteropus alecto (black flying fox). Lineage: Eukaryota; Metazoa; Chordata; Mammalia; Chiroptera; Pteropodidae. The record is from RNAcentral.
AACUACGGCCAUACCACACUGAACAAGCUUGAUACUGUCUGAUCUCGGAAACUAAGCAGGGUCGGGCCUGGUUGGUACUUGGAUGGGACACCCCCUAGGAAGACCGAGUGCUGUAGGUG